RNAcentral lists this ribosomal RNA (395 nucleotides) under uncultured bacterium. Its description in RNAcentral is "partial 16S ribosomal RNA". It matches the Rfam family "Bacterial small subunit ribosomal RNA", at positions 523 to 918 of the family's 1533-position model. The record is from RNAcentral.
AUACGUAGGGUGCAAGCGUUAAUCGGAAUUACUGGGCGUAAAGCGUGCGCAGGCGGUUUUGUAAGACAGAGGUGAAAUCCCCGGGCUCAAACUGGGAACUGCCUUUGUGACUGCAAGGCUAGAGUACGGCAGAGGGGGAUGGAAUUCCGCGGUGAGCAGUGAAAUGCGUAGAUAUGCGGAGGAACACCGAUGGCGAAGGCAAUCCCCUGGGCCUGUACUGACGCUCAUGCACGAAAGCGUGGGGAGCAAACAGGAUUAGAUACCCUGGUAGUCCACGCCCUAAACGAUGUCAACUGGUUGUUGGGUCUUCAUUGACUCAGUAACGAAGCUAACGCGUGAAGUUGACCGCCUGGGGAGUACGGCCGCAAGGUUGAAACUCAAAUGAAUUGACGGGG